ACUACGGGAGGCAGCAGUGGGGGAUAUUGCACAAUGGGGGGAACCCUGAUGCAGCGACGCCGCGUGGGUGAAGAAGCGCCUCGGCGCGUAAAGCCCUGUCAGCAGGGAAGAAAAUGACGGUACCUGAAGAAGAAGCCCCGGCUAACUACGUGCCAGCAGCCGCGGUAAUACGUAGGGGGCAAGCGUUAUCCGGAUUUACUGGGUGUAAAGGGGGCGCAGACGGCGAUGCAAGCCAGGAGUGAAAGCCCGGGGCCCAACCCCGGGACUGCUCGUGGAACUGCGUGGCUGGAGUGCAGGAGGGGCAGGCGGAAUGCCUGGUGUAGCGGGGAAAUGCGUAGAUAUCAGGAGGAACACCGGUGGCGAAGGCGGCCUGCUGGACUGCAACUGACGUUGAGGCCCGAAAGCGUGGGGAGCAAACAGGAUUAGAUACCCCUGUAGUC
RNAcentral lists this ribosomal RNA (440 nucleotides) under uncultured bacterium. RNAcentral describes it as "partial 16S ribosomal RNA". It matches the Rfam family "Bacterial small subunit ribosomal RNA", at positions 338 to 795 of the family's 1533-position model. The record is from RNAcentral.